GGCCGAGUGGCGAAACGGUAUACGCGCUGCGCUUAGAACGCAGUCCCUUCGGGGUUGUGGGUUCGACUCCCACCUCGGCUA
RNAcentral lists this transfer RNA (81 nucleotides) under Candidatus Dadabacteria bacterium. Its description in RNAcentral is "tRNA-Leu". It matches the Rfam family "tRNA". Rfam says of the family: Transfer RNA (tRNA) molecules are approximately 80 nucleotides in length. Their secondary structure includes four short double-helical elements and three loops (D, anti-codon, and T loops). The record is from RNAcentral. Lineage: Bacteria; Pseudomonadati; Thermodesulfobacteriota; Candidatus Dadabacteria. RNAcentral also lists the same sequence under 1 other name.